RNAcentral lists this unclassified non-coding RNA (21 nucleotides) under Chlamydomonas reinhardtii. RNAcentral describes it as "small RNA Cre_3993". Lineage: Eukaryota; Viridiplantae; Chlorophyta; Chlorophyceae; Chlamydomonadales; Chlamydomonadaceae. The record is from RNAcentral.
UUGGCGGUGGCCUGGUCCUCG